GAUGAACGCUGGCGGCGUGCCUAAUACAUGCAAGUCGAGCGAACGGACGAGAAGCUUGCUUCUCUGAUGUUAGCGGCGGACGGGUGAGUAACACGUGGAUAACCUACCUAUAAGACUGGGAUAACUUCGGGAAACCGGAGCUAAUACCGGAUAAUAUUUUGAACCGCAUGGUUCAAAAGUGAAAGACGGUCUUGCUGUCACUUAUAGAUGGAUCCGCGCUGCAUUAGCUAGUUGGUAAGGUAACGGCUUACCAAGGCAACGAUGCAUAGCCGACCUGAGAGGGUGAUCGGCCACACUGGAACUGAGACACGGUCCAGACUCCUACGGGAGGCAGCAGUAGGGAAUCUUCCGCAAUGGGCGAAAGCCUGACGGAGCAACGCCGCGUGAGUGAUGAAGGUCUUCGGAUCGUAAAACUCUGUUAUUAGGGAAGAACAGAUGUGUAAGUAACUGUGCACAUCUUGACGGUACCGAAUCAGAAAGCCACGGCUAACUACGUG
This 497-nucleotide ribosomal RNA is filed under the name uncultured bacterium. RNAcentral describes it as "partial 16S ribosomal RNA". It matches the Rfam family "Bacterial small subunit ribosomal RNA", at positions 28 to 507 of the family's 1533-position model. The record is from RNAcentral.